RNAcentral lists this long non-coding RNA (376 nucleotides) under Mytilus galloprovincialis (Mediterranean mussel). The record is from RNAcentral. Lineage: Eukaryota; Metazoa; Mollusca; Bivalvia; Mytilida; Mytilidae.
UGGCAACAUAGUAGUUCCAAUGAGUACCAAAAUCAUCCAACACCUGUAUAUAGUGGGCACCUACAUUGUAUUAAAAUAUAAUGAUUCUGAGUUAAAGCAUAUCCAAACAGUUCACCAAAUCCAAAAACUGGAAAUUUUCACAUUUGUUCUGUUUCCAUGGAAACGGUAGCCAUCUUGAACCAUUCCAUGUUUCCUGCAACUCUGCACAUGGGAGUCCUUAAUAUAGUAAAGUUCCAUCAACUUUGGUCCUUUGGAUUUCGAGAAAUCGCCUGGACAAAAAUGUGUGGAAGAAAAAUAAUAAUAAGAAAAAAAGAAACGUAGAAUAACAAUACGUCACCCCAACUCCGUUGAGGGUGCCAUAAUAAACACCGAGGAA